Saimiri boliviensis boliviensis (Bolivian squirrel monkey) is the source of this 293-nucleotide unclassified non-coding RNA. It matches the Rfam family "Metazoan signal recognition particle RNA". Rfam says of the family: The signal recognition particle (SRP) is a universally conserved ribonucleoprotein. The record is from Ensembl. Lineage: Eukaryota; Metazoa; Chordata; Mammalia; Primates; Cebidae.
GUUAUGGAGGCAUGCCCUUGUGGUCCCAGCUACUCUGGAGACUGAAGCAGGAGGAUCGCUUGAGCCCAGGAGUUCUGGGCUGUAGCAUAUUAUGCUGAUCGGGUACUUGUACUAAGUUCAACGUCAAUAUGAUGACUUCCCGGGAGCAGGGGGCCACCGGGUUGCCUAAGGAGAGGUGAACUGGCCCAGAUUCGAAACUGAGAAAGCCCAAACUCCCGAGGUGAUCACUAGUAGAAUACUGACCGUGAAAAACCAGUGCUCCAGCCUGGGCCACAUAGUGAGAUCUUUUCUCA